CCUACGGGAGGCAGCAGUGAGGAAUAUUGGUCAAUGGACGGAAGUCUGAACCAGCCAUGCCGCGUGCAGGAUGACGGCUCUAUGAGUUGUAAACUGUUUUUGCAUUAGGGUAAACACCCCUAUGUGUAGGGGCUUGAAAGUAUAUUACGAAUAAGGAUCGGCUAACUCCGUGCCAGCAGCCGCGGUAAUACGGAGGAUGCAAGCGUUAUCCGGAUUUAUUGGGUUUAAGGGGCGCGUAGGCGGUUUGAUAAGUUAGAGGUGAAAUACCGGUGCUCAACACCGGAACUGCCUCUAAUACUGGUGAGCUACAGAGUAGUUGCGGGAGGCGGAAUGUAUGGUGUAGCGGUGAAAUGCUUAGAGAUC
RNAcentral lists this ribosomal RNA (363 nucleotides) under uncultured bacterium. Its description in RNAcentral is "partial 16S ribosomal RNA". It matches the Rfam family "Bacterial small subunit ribosomal RNA", at positions 338 to 698 of the family's 1533-position model. The record is from RNAcentral.